This 497-nucleotide ribosomal RNA is filed under the name uncultured bacterium. RNAcentral's name for it is "partial 16S ribosomal RNA". It matches the Rfam family "Bacterial small subunit ribosomal RNA", at positions 28 to 507 of the family's 1533-position model. The record is from RNAcentral.
GAUGAACGCUGGCGGCGUGCCUAAUACAUGCAAGUCGAGCGAACAGACGAGGAGCUUGCUCCGCGGACGUUAGCCGCGGACGGGUGAGUCACACGUGUAUAACCUACCUAUAAGACUGAGAUCACUUCGGGACACCGGAGCUAAUACCAUAUAAGAUAUUGAACCGCAGGGGUCAAUGGUGAGAGACGGUGUUUCUGGCACGUAUAGCUGGAUCCGGGCGGCAUUAGCUAGUUGUUAAGGUCACGGCUUACCAAGGCAACUAGGCGUAGACGAACGGUGAGAGUGGUCGGCGACAUUGGAAGUGAGACGCGGUCAAGGGUACUACGGGAGGGAGCAGUAGGGUAUGUUCCGCAAUGGGCGAAAGCAUGACGGAGCAAGGCCGAGUGAGUGAUGAAGGUGUUGGGAGCGUAAAACUCUGUUAUGAGGGAAGAACAAAUGUGUAAGUAACUAUGCACGGAUUGACGGUACCUGGUAAGAAAGCACCGGCUAACUACGUG